AUUGAACGCUGGCGGCAUGCCUUACACAUGCAAGUCGAACGGUAACAGGUCUUCGGAUGCUGACGAGUGGCGAACGGGUGAGUAAUACAUCGGAACGUGCCUAGUAGUGGGGGAUAACUACUCGAAAGAGUGGCUAAUACCGCAUGAGAUCUACGGAUGAAAGCAGGGGAUCGAAAGACCUUGUGCUACUAGAGCGGCCGAUGGCAGAUUAGGUAGUUGGUGGGAUAAAAGCUUACCAAGCCGACGAUCUGUAGCUGGUCUGAGAGGACGAUCAGCCACACUGGGACUGAGACACGGCCCAGACUCCUACGGGAGGCAGCAGUGGGGAAUUUUGGACAAUGGGCGAAAGCCUGAUCCAGCAAUGCCGCGUGCAGGAUGAAGGCCUUCGGGUUGUAAACUGCUUUUGUACGGAACGAAAAGCCCCGGGUUAAUACCCUGGGGUCAUGACGGUACCGUAAGAAUAAGCACUGGCUAACUACGUGCCAGCCGCCGCAGUAA
This 498-nucleotide ribosomal RNA is filed under the name uncultured bacterium. RNAcentral's name for it is "partial 16S ribosomal RNA". It matches the Rfam family "Bacterial small subunit ribosomal RNA", at positions 30 to 523 of the family's 1533-position model. The record is from RNAcentral.